CCUCAAGGCAGCAGCUCACCACAGAAGACAGAUGGCAAACAGGCCCUUCAGAAAUUGCCAGCAGGGACUCCACAAGCUCUUGAUGCAGCUAACACUGGAGGAGGUUCUUCAAAUUGCAAAGUGUGGUUCUCCUUGAAGAUUUACAGCACACCUGCAGCAGCAGAAAGGACCAUAGAGGUGGAGUGCAGAGCUCUGGAUACUGUUGGAAUUAAUAUUCCCAUCACUAAUCCUACCAAUAAAGUUCUCAAGAUGAGUGUGCUGCU
Non-coding RNA from Sturnus vulgaris (Common starling), 263 nucleotides. NCBI's taxonomy places the organism in Eukaryota, Metazoa, Chordata, Aves, Passeriformes, Sturnidae. The record is from RefSeq and is a predicted model, not a curated record.